AUCCUUUUUGGUUCAUAAACCUGAUGAUUGGGUUGUUAUGCUGAUGUGUGAGAUGUGCAUUCUUCUAAACCUUGUUACGACAUUAUCCAUCUGAUG
RNAcentral lists this small nucleolar RNA (96 nucleotides) under Sciurus vulgaris (Eurasian red squirrel). RNAcentral's name for it is "Small nucleolar RNA U13 (ENSSVLG00005009016.1)". It matches the Rfam family "Small nucleolar RNA U13". Lineage: Eukaryota; Metazoa; Chordata; Mammalia; Rodentia; Sciuridae. The record is from Rfam by way of RNAcentral.